AAAGAAUGUAAAAUGAACUAUACUGCUGAAAUAGAAAUUUUAUUAAAAAAGAAAGAAAAAAGAAGGAAAAAAACCCCUGAAAGCACAGCCGCUAACAGAGGGCCGUGCCAAAAAGAAACGUAAAAAGCAAAACAAAAACCACAGAAAACCCGCAAAGGACCACGGGUGAACAAAAACAGAAACUAAGAGGAGAAAUCUAAAUAAGCUUCGUCGUCCCCAACAUUGUCGUCAUCCACCUCUUCGUCGUCCAGCAUAUCUCCCCAUUUUUCCUUUUUUGUAGAGGCUACUGCCGACAUAGUUCGGGCUGCGUCUGAAGAGGAGUGUAUCACAAAGUUUUGCAGAAUCGCCCCUCUAGAUUGAGCGUGCUGCACUUUAUUCAGAAACUCCACCGGUGCAUCAUCA
Molecule: long non-coding RNA, 402 nt
Filed under: Salvia miltiorrhiza (redroot sage)
Lineage: Eukaryota; Viridiplantae; Streptophyta; Magnoliopsida; Lamiales; Lamiaceae
Description: long non-coding RNA (SMIL_LNC009204)
Source: RNAcentral